ACGCAGCGAGGAAGGUCCGUGCGGCACUGAGGGUGUGAUCGGAACUCCCUCUGCUCCAGCACCCACGGCGACCCUGACCAGGAUCAGCGGGUAUAGAUAAUGGACGGGUGGAUAUAUACUGUUCGGGUACCUACAGGACGGUCAAUAGCCUACUUAAAAUGAAAACUCAUCACGUGCCGUUAGUUGCUUGUGUUCGUGUGUUGCCUGCUUAUUGAACGCUAUGGCUGCGAUAACGACACGUUCCCCACGGGAAUACCAGAUACAGUAUGCCUAUCUACAGGUUAAUUGGGGACUCAAGGUACGCACACUCGCAUUUUGGACUACCCGGAUGGAUUGUCUCCUAAUCGGCUCCUAUGGGGGCAACGGUGAGCCAUAUUGCAAUGUUCAAGAGAGAACACAGGUGCCAGAAGAAUGAGAAGAGGAAGCUUAGAAAUGAUCUAUGCAAU
Anguilla rostrata (American eel) is the source of this 446-nucleotide long non-coding RNA. RefSeq lists it as uncharacterized. The transcript is spliced from 3 exons. The record is from RefSeq and is a predicted model, not a curated record. Lineage: Eukaryota; Metazoa; Chordata; Actinopteri; Anguilliformes; Anguillidae.